AAUUCUCAACAGCAAAAUACAGAACCAGCCCAAAUUCCCAUCAAUCAACAAGUGGUUAAAGAAAUUGUGAUAUACAUAUAAUGGAAUACUACUCAGCCAUAAAAAGGUAUGAAUUAAUGGCAUUUGCAGCAGCAACCUGAAUGGAACUGGAAACUAUUAUUCUAAGUGAAAUAAUUCAGAAUGGAAAACCAAACAUCGUAUAUUCUCACUCAUAAGUGGGAGCUAAGCUAUGAGGAUGCAAAGGCAUAAGAACAAUACAAUGAACUUUGGGGGCUUGGGGAAAGGGUGGGAGGGCGGUGAGAGAUAAAAGACUACAAACUGGGUUCAGUGUAUACUGCUUGGUGAUGGGUUUUUUUGGUGACUAUUUUCUAAUGUAGUAUUUUCAUUUAUUUUUUUUUAUUUUUUGAGACAGAGUCUCACUCUGCCGCCCAGGCUGGAGUGCAAUGGCGCGAUCUCGGCUGACAACCUCUGCCUCCUGGGUUCAAGUGAUUCUUCUGCCUCAGCCUCUCAAGUAGCUGGGACUACAGGUGCGCGCCACCACACCUGGCUAAUUUUUGUAAUUUUAGUACAGAGGGGGUGUCACUAUAUUGGCCAGGCUGGUCUCGAACUCCUGACCUAGUGAUCUGCCCAUCCAUCUUGGCCUCCCAAAGUGCUGGGAUUACAGACGUGAGCCAUCGCACCUGGUCGUAUUUUCAUUUCUUUAAUAGUUUCUCAUUACAAGAGAAACUUUGUUGAUUUUUUUUUUUUUUUUUUUUUGAGAGAGAGGGUCUUACUCUCUUGCCCAGGCUAGAGUGCAGUGGCAUAAUUAUAGCUCACUGUAACCUCUAACUCACAGGCUCAGGUGAUCCUCCUGCCUCAGCCUCUCAAGUAGUUGGGACUACAAGCACUCACCACCACAUCUGGCUAAUUUUUACAUUUUUGUAGAGACAAGUUCUCACUAUGUUGCCCAGGCUGGUUGUGAACUCCUGGCCUCAAGUGAUCCUCUCAUCUCAGCCUCCCAAAGUGCUGAGGUUACAGGCAUAUAAUCUCAGCCACUGCACAGUCCUGAAUUUUUAGGUCAGUCUAGGCUUUACCAUAUGCAUCUUUCAGAACUAGGCUAAUUACAUGCAAACAUUGCUCUUAUAUAUCUCUAUUUUCAUUUUCUCCUUUUUGUGAUAGUUAUACAUAUUAAUAUUACAAACUCAACAACACAUUGCUAUUAUUACUUUACCAACUGCAGUUUCUCUAGCUCCGUACACCUUUGCUCUUUCCUGCUCAUUUCCUUUGUACCAUUAUCAGAAAAUUUCAUAAACAUUACAUUUUCAUAUUUAUAGGGCCACUAUUAUAUAUAGUGUUUAUAUAAUUUGUUUCUUCUUAAAAUCAAGAGGAGAUAUUCAUUUGUACUGUCCUAUAUAAUUACACAAUUACCUUUACUGGUAUGUAUUCAAAUUACUAUCUGGAGUCCCUUGCUUUCAACCUGGAGUCCUCUUUUAGUAUUUCUUGCAAGGCAAGUCUCCCAGCAACAAAUUCUCUUUUUAUCUGAGAAAGUCUGUGUUUCACCUUCAGUUUUGAAAGUAGUUUGCUGGAUAUAGAAUUAUUGGUUGACAUUUUUUUUUUAUUUUGAGCAUUUUGAAAGUGAUCUGCUACUUUCUGGCUUUGUUGUUUCUCCUAAAAUGGUCAGCUGUUGAUAUUUCCUUGCGAGUAACAAGUUGCUUUUCUCUUGCUACUUUCAAGCUUUUCUCCUGUCUUUUAGCUUUUUUGUUUUUGUUAGGACAUGUCUGUUUUUUAAACUCUUUGUGUUUAUGCUACUUGGAAUUCAUAUAGGUUCCUGAAUAUGUAAGUUAUUGUUUUACAAAAAAUUUGGGAAAAUUUUUAGCUGUCAUUUCUUUGAAUGUAUUUUCAGCUCCCUUCUCUCUCCUCUUCUACUGAAACUCCUAUGAUGUGUAUGUUGGUGUCCUUAAAGGUCACACAUAUUUCUCUGAGGCCAUGUUCACUUUUAAAAAAUUCUUUUUCCUCUAAUCUCUAUCAAUCUUUCUUCAAGUUCAUUUACUAUUUCUUCUGCCAAUUCUACUACUGAGCUUCUGUAAUGAAUUUUUUAUUGCAGUUACUGUUCAACUCCAGAAUUUCUACUUAGUUCGGUAUCUCUUUGAUAUUUGAUAUAAUGUCAUUGCACCUUCCUUUUCUUCUUCAAUUAUUGUUUCCUUUAAUUCUGGGAAUGUUUUUAAUGGCAACUUUCAAGUUUUUUCUCAUAACUUGACAUCCUGUCACUCUCAAUUUUUUUUUUUUUUUUUUGAGAGUCUCGCUCUGUUGCCCAGGUUGGAGUGCAGUUGUGUGAACUUGGCUCGUUGCAACCCCUACCUCCUGGAUUCAAGUGAUUCUCUGCCUCAGCCUCUCAAGUAGCUGAGACUACAGGUGUGCACCACCACGCUAAUUUUUGUAUUUUUAGUAGAAAUGGGGUUUCCCCAUGUUGGCCAGGCUGGUCUCAAACUCCUAUCCUCAAGGGAUCCACCCACCUUGGCUUCCCAAAGUGCUGGGAUUACAGGCAUGGGCCCCACACCUGGCCUCAUAGUCACUGUUUUGUUCCUUGCUUUAUUUCUAGUGUAUAAGUUGUACUUUCCUGUCUCUGCAUGCUUUUGUAUUUGUUACAGACUGGAUAUUUUAAAUAUGUUGUAGCAACUCUGGAUACCAGUCGUUCCCUUCUCAUAUCCCUGGGGUUUGUCACUGCUUAGUGACUGGCUAUUUUAGUGUAGCCCCUCCCAUCCACCAGUAUUAAGCCUCUGUUGUUGCUCCUCAGGUUGUCAUGACUGGGUAUGCCCAGUCUCCUUGGGAUGACAGUGUUUUUUUCUAGGCCCAGCUUACUCUAUUCACGACCAUGUCUAGCUGUUGAUCUCCAGUAAUUGCCAGCUCUACUGUUUUCAACAAUGUUCUGAGUCAUAAAUUGCUCUACAAGCUAAUUCUAUCAUAUUGUGACUCCUUUGAAGAAAAGGUUUCACAUUUGUUCUAAUCCCAGGAGAGGUCCUGUGAGCUGUCUUAUUCCCUGGUUCUCCUGCAAACUAGCUGGUCUACAGUUUAUACAGAUGUUGAAUCUCUUCAGUUGCUUUUUACCACAACCUCUAGUGGUAUGUCCUGAGAUUUGAAAUUAUCUGUGCUGUGUUACAAAUGAAGUCCCUUUGUUUUGGAAGACAUUAGGGGUUAUUUCAUCUGGUUCAGUUCCCAGGUAAAAUCUCUAAACCAGGGCAUUGGAACUGUAACAAUGGCAAGCUUCUGUGUGACACACCACCACCUCUAUCUCCACCCUAGAAACUGAGUGCUUAGUGGAGGGGGUUGGGCAGCAGCCUGAAGCCUUCUCAGCUUAACUCUUCUGGCACAGAACUAUCACCUCAUGAGCCAGGGGAAAGAUCAUCUGUGUCCCAGUAUUCUAAACAUGCCACACCCAACGUAAAGCCUCUGGUGGCAAAGUGGGAGCUGAGUGGAAGAUGUGAACCCAUAAUGUUCAACUGCACUCCCCUGGGUUUUAACCUCAGCAAAAGCAGCUGGGGGCAGACCAAGAAUUGUUAACAUCCUGCUUUUCCCAAGAAGAGGGUUCUCCAACUGGGAGGUGAGGAAAAGGGAGCCCUGUGUUCUUGGCUGCAGCAGUCUGGAGUCUCCACAUUAAUAAGCAUAGAGGAAGCAAGGAAGCAAUCUAGGUUUAAAUAUCACAAACUCCCAUUUCCUACACAAUUUUCGCAUUUCCUUGAAUAGCUGUUUUUCUCAUCUGCUGUUUGCUCACAGGAUCAUUUACAGAGGCUUUACAUAAAUAAAUAGCUUUAUUUUACAUGGUUAUAUUUUAUUUUACAUAUAUUUUGUUUUACAUAAAUAACUGGUGAAAAUAAUUAUCACCAGUUUCCCUGAGGAGGGGGUAAGCACAGCUCUUCACACUAUCACGCCAGUCAUUCAGUUUUCUUUUUUUUUUGACACAGUCUGGCUCUGUUGCCCAGGCUGGAGUGCAGUGGCGCCAUCUCAGCUCACUGCAACCUCUGCCUCCUGAGUUUUCAAGCAAUUCUCCUGCCUCAACCUCCCGAGUAGCUGGGACUACAGGCACCCACCACUACACCCGGUUAAUUUUUGUAUUUUUAGUAGACACAGGGAUUCACCAUGUUGACUAGGCUGGUGUUG
This 4134-nucleotide long non-coding RNA is filed under the name Homo sapiens (human). RNAcentral describes it as "non-protein coding lnc-OLFML3-5:1". Lineage: Eukaryota; Metazoa; Chordata; Mammalia; Primates; Hominidae. The record is from RNAcentral.